GUCGAGCGGACAGAUGGGAGCUUGCUCCCUGAUGUUAGCGGCGGACGGGUGAGUAACACGUGGGUAACCUGCCUGUAAGACUGGGAUAACUCCGGGAAACCGGGGCUAAUACCGGAUGGUUGUCUGAACCGCAUGGUUCAGACAUAAAAGGUGGCUUCGGCUACCACUUACAGAUGGACCCGCGGCGCAUUAGCUAGUUGGUGAGGUAACGGCUCACCAAGGCGACGAUGCGUAGCCGACCUGAGAGGGUGAUCGGCCACACUGGGACUGAGACACGGCCCAGACUCCUACGGGAGGCAGCAGUAGGGAAUCUUCCGCAAUGGACGAAAGUCUGACGGAGCAACGCCGCGUGAGUGAUGAAGGUUUUCGGAUCGUAAAGCUCUGUUGUUAGGGAAGAACAAGUGCCGUUCAAAUAGGGCGGCACCUUGACGGUACCUAACCAGAAAGCCACGGCUAACUACGUGCCAGCAGCCGCGGUAAUACGUAGGUGGCAAGCGUUGUCCGGAAUUAUUGGGCGUAAAGGGCUCGCAGGCGGUUUCUUAAGUCUGAUGUGAAAGCCCCCGGCUCAACCGGGGAGGGUCAUUGGAAACUGGGGAACUUGAGUGCAGAAGAGGAGAGUGGAAUUCCACGUGUAGCGGUGAAAUGCGUAGAGAUGUGGAGGAACACCAGUGGCGAAGGCGACUCUCUGGUCUGUAACUGACGCUGAGGAGCGAAAGCGUGGGGAGCGAACAGGAUUAGAUACCCUGGUAGUCCACGCCGUAAACGAUGAGUGCUAAGUGUUAGGGGGUUUCCGCCCCUUAGUGCUGCAGCUAACGCAUUAAGCACUCC
RNAcentral lists this ribosomal RNA (828 nucleotides) under Bacillus amyloliquefaciens. RNAcentral's name for it is "bacterial SSU rRNA". It matches the Rfam family "Bacterial small subunit ribosomal RNA", at positions 61 to 870 of the family's 1533-position model. The record is from RNAcentral. Lineage: Bacteria; Bacillati; Bacillota; Bacilli; Caryophanales; Bacillaceae.